AUAUGCUUGUCCCAAAGCUUAAGCCAUGCAUGUCUUAGAACAAACGGUCUCGUGAAUCUGCGAACGGCUCCGUAUAUCUGUUGUCACCCGCCUCCAUCCGCCCGGGGGAUGCCUAUCCCCCCCGGCAGCGGAUACCCACGGUAAUUCUGUGGCUAAUACGUGUAUGAACCGAGGGCUACCGCGCAAGCGGCUAGCCCUCGGCCUUGCCGCCUUAUCAAGACGCGGGCCUCGGCCCUACCGCCUGAUGCAGGCAAGUAGCCCUACCGGCCAUUUGCUUGGCCGGAGUGUGGGACGGGCUUCAGACCUAUCAACUAUACGGCCGGGGAUAGCCCCGCCGUGGUGGCGACGGGUACAGAGGAUCAGGGUUCGAUCCUGGAGAGGUAGCCUGAGAGAUCGCUACUACUUCUAAGGAAGGCAGCAGGCGCGCAACGUUCCCAAUGGGGACACCCUGAGGACGUGACGGGACAUAUCAAUGCCUCGCCCAUAAAGCGGGGCAAUUGAAAUGGGGGAUAGCCAAACCCUCCACCGAGUAACAAUUGGAGGACAAGUCUGGUGCCAGCACCCGCGGUAAUUCCAGCUCCAAUAGCAUCUAGUUAAGUUGCUGCAGUUAAAACGCUCGUAGUUCAAGCUGGUGCGCACGCCGCCCGCCUAGUAGCGAUAGGCCCGGGGCCCACCCUCUUCUUGGGUGUUGGCCCUCGCCUGGAGUCAACGGCGGGAGCGCAGGCGUGCCACCACAGUUUGCCGGAGUUCAAAGCCGACGGCGGUCCUUCGGUGGUCCGCCGCCCGGUCUCCGGUGCUUUCCUUUGAGUAAAUGUGAGCGCUCAAAGCGGGCCGUUCCGGCCCUUGCAACCCGCAGCAAAGAAUAAUGAUAUGGGCUCCCUCGGAUGCGUCUAGCGAGGGGGAGCCAAUUGGUCGAUGGGUUGGAUCGGGGUGGGCCACAUGGCUGGGGUAGGGGUGAAAUCCGUUGAUCCUAGCCAGGUGAUCUAACGCGAAAGCAGCCCACAAGUACCUGCCCUUCGAUCAAGAACGAAAGUCUGGGGAUCGAAGAUGAUUAGAUACCAUCGUAGUCCAGACCCUAAACGAUGCCGGCUACGGAUGGGCUCGUGUCCAUCCCGACCCAGACCGAACCUUGUGGGAAACCAUUAGCGUUUGGGCUCUGGGGGGAGUA
Molecule: ribosomal RNA, 1168 nt
Filed under: Perichaena nigra
Lineage: Eukaryota; Evosea; Eumycetozoa; Trichiida; Trichiidae
Description: SSU rRNA
Rfam family: Eukaryotic small subunit ribosomal RNA
Source: RNAcentral